Molecule: ribosomal RNA, 407 nt
Filed under: Verrucomicrobiota bacterium
Lineage: Bacteria; Pseudomonadati; Verrucomicrobiota
Description: Verrucomicrobia bacterium partial 16S ribosomal RNA
Rfam family: Bacterial small subunit ribosomal RNA
Source: RNAcentral
UGGGGAAUAUUGGACAAUGGAGGGAACUCUGAUCCAGCAAUUCUGUGUGUGUGAAGAAGGUUUUAGGACUGUAAAACACUUUUAGUAGGGAAGAAAAAAAUGACGGUACCUACAGAAGAAGCAACGGCUAAAUACGUGCCAGCAGCCGCGGUAAUACGUAUGUUGCGAGCGUUAUCCGGAAUUAUUGGGCUUAAAGGGCAUCUAGGCGGUAAGACAAGUUGAAGGUGAAAACCUGUGGCUCAACCAUAGGCUUGCCUACAAAACUGUUGAACUAGAGUACUGGAAAGGUGGGUGGAACUACACGAGUAGAGGUGAAAUUCGUAGAUAUGUGUAGAAAUGCCGAUGAUGAAGAUAACUCACUGGACAGAAACUGACGCUGAAGUGCGAAAGCUAGGGGAGCAAACAGG